UACGUAGGGAGCAAGCGUUGUCCGGAAUCAUUGGGCGUAAAGCGCGCGUAGGUGGUCCCCGUAAGUCCGCUGUGAAAGUCAAAGGCUCAACCUUUGAAAGCCGGUGGAUACUGUGGGACUAGAGUACGGAAGAGGGCGAGUGGAAUUCCUGGUGUAGCGGUGGAAUGCGCAGAUAUCAGGAGGAACACCAAUAGCGAAGGCAGCUCGCUGGGACGUUACUGACACUGAGGCGCGAAAGCGUGGGGAGCGAACAGG
This 255-nucleotide ribosomal RNA is filed under the name uncultured bacterium. RNAcentral describes it as "partial 16S ribosomal RNA". It matches the Rfam family "Bacterial small subunit ribosomal RNA", at positions 524 to 776 of the family's 1533-position model. The record is from RNAcentral.